GACGAACGCUGGCGGCGUGCCUAAUACAUGCAAGUCGAACGGGGUAAUUUCUUCGGAGAUUACUUAGUGGCGAACGGGUGAGUAACGCGUGAGAAACCUGCCUUUCAGUGGGGGACAACAGUUGGAAACGACUGCUAAUACCGCAUGACACUUUAGUACCGCAUGGUACAGAAGUCAAAGCUUAAUGUGCUGAAAGAUGGUCUCGCGUCCCAUUAGUUAGUUGGUGAGGUAACGGCUCACCAAGACUUCGAUGGGUAGCCGGCCUGAGAGGGUGAACGGCCACACUGGAACUGAGACACGGUCCAG
RNAcentral lists this ribosomal RNA (306 nucleotides) under uncultured bacterium. Its description in RNAcentral is "bacterial SSU rRNA". It matches the Rfam family "Bacterial small subunit ribosomal RNA", at positions 28 to 334 of the family's 1533-position model. The record is from RNAcentral.